Molecule: ribosomal RNA, 440 nt
Filed under: uncultured bacterium
Lineage: Bacteria
Description: partial 16S ribosomal RNA
Rfam family: Bacterial small subunit ribosomal RNA
Source: RNAcentral
CUACGGGUCGCUGCAGUAGGGAAUAUUGCACAAUGGGCGAAAGCCUGAUGCAGCAACGCCGCGUGCGCGAUGAAGGCCUUCGGGUUGUAAAGCGCUUUUCUGAGGGAAGAGGAAGGACUGUACCUCAGGAAUAAGUCUCGGCUAACUACGUGCCAGCAGCCGCGGUAACACGUAGGAGGCAAGCGUUAUCCGGAUUUACUGGGCGUAAAGCGCGUGUAGGCGGUUUGGCAAGUCGGAUGUGAAAGCUCCUGGCUCAACUGGGAGAGGUCGUUCGAAACUGCCAGACUAGAGGACGGUAGAGGGAGAUGGAAUUCCCGGUGUAGUAGUGAAAUGCGUAGAUAUCGGGAGGAACACCAGUGGCGAAGGCGGUCUUCUGGGCCGUUCCUGACGCUGAGACGCGAAAGCAUGGGUAGCGAACGGGAUUAGAUACCCGCGUAGUC